CAUAGGUUAAUGAGGCGAACCGGGGGAACUGAAACAUCUAAGUACCCCGAGGAAAAGAAAUCAACCGAGAUUCCCCCAGUAGCGGCGAGCGAACGGGGAGGAGCCCAGAGCCUGAAUCAGUGUGUGUGUUAGUGGAAGCGUCUGGAAAGGCGCGCGAUACAGGGUGACAGCCCCGUACACAAAAAUGCACAUAUUGUGAGCUCGAUGAGUAGGGCGGGACACGUGGUAUCCUGUCUGAAUAUGGGGGGACCAUCCUCCAAGGCUAAAUACUCCUGACUGACCGAUAGUGAACCAGUACCGUGAGGGAAAGGCGAAAAGAACCCCGGCGAGGGGAGUGAAAAAGAACCUGAAACCGUGUACGUACAAGCAGUGGGAGCCUCUUAAUGGGGUGACUGCGUACCUUUUGUAUAAUGGGUCAGCGACUUAUAUUCUGUAGCAAGGUUAACCGAAUAGGGGAGCCGAAGGGAAACCGAGUCUUAACUGGGCGUUAAGUUGCAGGGUAUAGACCCGAAACCCGGUGAUCUAGCCAUGGGCAGGUUGAAGGUUGGGUAACACUAACUGGAGGACCGAACCGACUAAUGUUGAAAAAUUAGCGGAUGACUUGUGGCUGGGGGUGAAAGGCCAAUCAAACCGGGAGAUAGCUGGUUCUCCCCGAAAGCUAUUUAGGUAGCGCCUCGUGAAUUCAUCUCCGGGGGUAG
This 698-nucleotide ribosomal RNA is filed under the name Escherichia coli. RNAcentral's name for it is "partial 23S ribosomal RNA". It matches the Rfam family "Bacterial large subunit ribosomal RNA", at positions 165 to 905 of the family's 2925-position model. The record is from RNAcentral. RNAcentral also lists the same sequence under 1 other name. Lineage: Bacteria; Pseudomonadati; Pseudomonadota; Gammaproteobacteria; Enterobacterales; Enterobacteriaceae.